UACGUAGGGGGCGAGCGUUGCUCGGAUUUAUUGGGCGUAAAGAGCGUGUAGGCGGCCAGGUAGGUCUGCUGUGAAAACUCGAGGCUCAACCUCGAGACGUCGGCGGAAACCAUCUGGCUAGAGUCCGGAAGAGGAGAGUGGAAUUCCUGGUGUAGCGGUGGAAUGCGCAGAUAUCAGGAGGAACACCGGUGGCGAAGGCGGGUCUCUGGGCAGUAACUGACGCUGAGGAGCGAAAGCGUGGGGAGCGAACAGG
Molecule: ribosomal RNA, 253 nt
Filed under: uncultured bacterium
Lineage: Bacteria
Description: partial 16S ribosomal RNA
Rfam family: Bacterial small subunit ribosomal RNA
Source: RNAcentral